AUGAAUACUGGCUUCGUUAGCCACUAACGGGAAAAUCAGCCUGUCCAUUGAAGACUUGAUGCCAGGCACUGAAUUCUCUCCAGCUGUGAUAUUGCUGGGUGGCCUCCCCUUGCAGUUCUCUGCAUUGAAAACCUGUUGUUUAGUGCAGCCACCUUCAUUAGCUGCCUUAGCUUCAUCUCCUGGAGCACUUGCAGCAGCCUCUGGGUCAGCUCUUCCCGCCUUACCUUGCACAGAGGGUAAAAAGAAAAUGCAAGACCACCAUGCUGCAUCGGGAUCUCUGAAAGAACGUGAGGAAGACGGUUUCCAAAGGCAGGUGAAGAAAGUACGCGCCCUUGAUGAAAUCAGUGGACAGAGAACUAUGGACACUGAAGGGAAGGUGGACAUGAACGGAUGUGAGCUGGUGGGAAAGCAGCAGCUGUUGGCAGCAAAGGAGGAGGCAAAAUUGGCUGAAGAGGAGACAAGA
Long non-coding RNA from Camelus dromedarius (Arabian camel), 463 nucleotides. RefSeq lists it as uncharacterized. Lineage: Eukaryota; Metazoa; Chordata; Mammalia; Artiodactyla; Camelidae. The record is from RefSeq and is a predicted model, not a curated record. The transcript has 3 exons.